RNAcentral lists this ribosomal RNA (1206 nucleotides) under Escherichia coli. RNAcentral's name for it is "partial 23S ribosomal RNA". It matches the Rfam family "Bacterial large subunit ribosomal RNA", at positions 1526 to 2713 of the family's 2925-position model. Lineage: Bacteria; Pseudomonadati; Pseudomonadota; Gammaproteobacteria; Enterobacterales; Enterobacteriaceae. The record is from RNAcentral.
GGUUUUCCAGGCAAAUCCGGAAAAUCAAGGCUGAGGCGUGAUGACGAGGCACUACGGUGCUGAAGCAACAAAUGCCCUGCUUCCAGGAAAAGCCUCUAAGCAUCAGGUAACAUCAAAUCGUACCCCAAACCGACACAGGUGGUCAGGUAGAGAAUACCAAGGCGCUUGAGAGAACUCGGGUGAAGGAACUAGGCAAAAUGGUGCCGUAACUUCGGGAGAAGGCACGCUGAUAUGUAGGUGAAGCGACUUGCUCGUGGAGCUGAAAUCAGUCGAAGAUACCAGCUGGCUGCAACUGUUUAUUAAAAACACAGCACUGUGCAAACACGAAAGUGGACGUAUACGGUGUGACGCCUGCCCGGUGCCGGAAGGUUAAUUGAUGGGGUCAGCGCAAGCGAAGCUCUUGAUCGAAGCCCCGGUAAACGGCGGCCGUAACUAUAACGGUCCUAAGGUAGCGAAAUUCCUUGUCGGGUAAGUUCCGACCUGCACGAAUGGCGUAAUGAUGGCCAGGCUGUCUCCACCCGAGACUCAGUGAAAUUGAACUCGCUGUGAAGAUGCAGUGUACCCGCGGCAAGACGGAAAGACCCCGUGAACCUUUACUAUAGCUUGACACUGAACAUUGAGCCUUGAUGUGUAGGAUAGGUGGGAGGCUUGGAAGUGUGGACGCCAGUCUGCAUGGAGCCGACCUUGAAAUACCACCCUUUAAUGUUUGAUGUUCUAACGUUGACCCGUAAUCCGGGUUGCGGACAGUGUCUGGUGGGUAGUUUGACUGGGGCGGUCUCCUCCUAAAGAGUAACGGAGGAGCACGAAGGUUGGCUAAUCCUGGUCGGACAUCAGGAGGUUAGUGCAAUGGCAUAAGCCAGCUUGACUGCGAGCGUGACGGCGCGAGCAGGUGCGAAAGCAGGUCAUAGUGAUCCGGUGGUUCUGAAUGGAAGGGCCAUCGCUCAACGGAUAAAAGGUACUCCGGGGAUAACAGGCUGAUACCGCCCAAGAGUUCAUAUCGACGGCGGUGUUUGGCACCUCGAUGUCGGCUCAUCACAUCCUGGGGCUGAAGUAGGUCCCAAGGGUAUGGCUGUUCGCCAUUUAAAGUGGUACGCGAGCUGGGUUUAGAACGUCGUGAGACAGUUCGGUCCCUAUCUGCCGUGGGCGCUGGAGAACUGAGGGGGGCUGCUCCUAGUACGAGAGGACCGGAGUGGACGCAUCACUGGU